This 671-nucleotide ribosomal RNA is filed under the name bacterium sp. R2A-71. RNAcentral describes it as "bacterial SSU rRNA". It matches the Rfam family "Bacterial small subunit ribosomal RNA", at positions 784 to 1455 of the family's 1533-position model. The record is from RNAcentral.
GACCUGGUAGUCCACGCUGUAAACGAUGUCGACUUGGAGGUUGUUCCCUUGAGGAGUGGCUUCCGGAGCUAACGCGUUAAGUCGACCGCCUGGGGAGUACGGCCGCAAGGUUAAAACUCAAAUGAAUUGACGGGGGCCCGCACAAGCGGUGGAGCAUGUGGUUUAAUUCGAUGCAACGCGAAGAACCUUACCUACUCUUGACAUCCAGAGAACUUAGCAGAGAUGCUUUGGUGCCUUCGGGAACUCUGAGACAGGUGCUGCAUGGCUGUCGUCAGCUCGUGUUGUGAAAUGUUGGGUUAAGUCCCGCAACGAGCGCAACCCUUAUCCUUUGUUGCCAGCGAUUCGGUCGGGAACUCAAAGGAGACUGCCAGUGAUAAACUGGAGGAAGGUGGGGAUGACGUCAAGUCAUCAUGGCCCUUACGAGUAGGGCUACACACGUGCUACAAUGGCAUAUACAAAGAGAAGCGACCUCGCGAGAGCAAGCGGACCUCAUAAAGUAUGUCGUAGUCCGGAUUGGAGUCUGCAACUCGACUCCAUGAAGUCGGAAUCGCUAGUAAUCGUGGAUCAGAAUGCCACGGUGAAUACGUUCCCGGGCCUUGUACACACCGCCCGUCACACCAUGGGAGUGGGUUGCAAAAGAAGUAGGUAGCUUAACCUUCGGGAGGGCGCUA